Molecule: small nucleolar RNA, 136 nt
Organism: Cavia porcellus (domestic guinea pig)
Lineage: Eukaryota; Metazoa; Chordata; Mammalia; Rodentia; Caviidae
Source: Ensembl
CUGGCCCUGAAUCAAGGCCGGCAGCUUCCUGACACUGUUGGUUUCAAGCAGGAACCUAAAGAGAUGUCUUUCUGCAGUCUGCUGGCCAUUGCAGAACUUGGGCAGUAAGUGGUCAAUUCAUUAGAAAGAAAUAGCU